CCUGCGAAGGCAGCGGAUCUCUUAAAGCCGUUCUCAGUUCGGACUGUAGGCUGCAACUCGCCUACACGAAGCUGGAAUCGCUAGUAAUCGCGGAUCAGCACGCCGCGGUGAAUACGUUCCCGGGCCUUGUACACACCGCCCGUCACACCAUGAGAGUCUGUAACACCCAAAGCCGGUGGGAUAACCUUUAUAGGAGUCAGCCGUCUAAGGUAGGACAGAUGAUUAGGGUGAAGUCGUAACAAGGUAGC
This 248-nucleotide ribosomal RNA is filed under the name uncultured bacterium. RNAcentral's name for it is "partial 16S ribosomal RNA". It matches the Rfam family "Bacterial small subunit ribosomal RNA", at positions 1254 to 1500 of the family's 1533-position model. The record is from RNAcentral.